CAAGCGCGGGCGACGGGGAGGCGGAGCGGGCCGACGAGGAGAGCGGGAGGCGCCGGCGUAGAGGGAGAGAGGCGCGCGGGCGACGGGUGAGGUGGAGGCGCUCGGGAAGACAGAAGAGCUCGGGCGAGCGCGGGGCAUAGAGGCGCGUCGGCGUGGUGGACCGGCGCGAGCGAGCAACAGCGAGGUGGAAAGGCGCGGCAGGCGCGGGGAGAGGAGGGCGCGCGGGGCAGACGAGGAUGCGCGGGCGACGGCGUGGAGCGAGGGGAGGCGGCGCGCGAGGCCAGGGGAUAGGGAGCCCGCGGGAGAGGGAGGUAAGGGCGCCGGCCAUGGGGGAAGCACACGCGGCACAGAGGCAGGGAAGUGCCUGGGUGAAGGAAGAAGAAGGGGAGAAGAAGCAGGCGGCGGCAGGAGGAAGAAGGGGAGAAAGAAAAAGAAAAGUAAAAAGAAAAGGGAGAGUGGAUUAAAAAGCUAGGGUUAGGGUUAGGGUUUGGCUUAGAUGGGCUGGUUUUGGGCCCAACAAACAAUUGCACACAAAUUAAAUUAAUUUGAUAUUUAGUUUGAUUUUGAAAUAAAAUAGGAAGAGAGAGGGUGUAGGUUUAAUUAGAACCGGAAAUAAUUUGUCAAACUCAAAUAGGAUUUGUACAAAAUAAUUUUAGACUUUCGCUGAACACGCGAAAAGGCAAGCACAUGACAAC
Molecule: long non-coding RNA, 695 nt
Filed under: Brachypodium distachyon (stiff brome)
Lineage: Eukaryota; Viridiplantae; Streptophyta; Magnoliopsida; Poales; Poaceae
Description: long non-coding RNA (BDIS_LNC002007)
Source: RNAcentral